GCAGGUAAGAGCAGUUCGGCUACCGGCCUGUAAACCGUCGGCUAAGCCUUCCCUGGUUCGAAUCCAGGACCUGCCG
RNAcentral lists this transfer RNA (76 nucleotides) under Actinomycetota bacterium. RNAcentral describes it as "Actinobacteria bacterium tRNA-OTHER". Lineage: Bacteria; Bacillati; Actinomycetota. The record is from RNAcentral.